RNAcentral lists this long non-coding RNA (1993 nucleotides) under Mus musculus (house mouse). RNAcentral's name for it is "predicted gene, 67354". Lineage: Eukaryota; Metazoa; Chordata; Mammalia; Rodentia; Muridae. The record is from RNAcentral.
CUUCCAUUAAUUCCUCAUUUCUGGGGUGUCAGAGUCUCUGUUGUGGUGUGGUGUGCAUCGAACAAGCUAUCUUCUCUUCUGUGUGUCUCAGAUCAAUCUAUCAUCCGAAUGGAUUUUCCAGAGGAGCCAGACUCCACUCAGGGAGGCCACAUUAUCUGAGGUCAUUACUCACUGGGUGUGAACAGCUUCAUAAUCCGGUCCUUGCUGAGGUGAAGUGGGGCUCAGUCCCAGUCUAACCUGGCUCAAGAAGAAAACUAGACAGAGCUCAGUGUACAGCAUCCAAGCCAACCUGGUAUGCCAACUGCCAAGGAGAAGAUCGCACCCCUGGCUGUGUGUCAGCUUUGGCUUAGGACCUGAUCACACCAGGGUUGAGACCACAUGAGAAGACAGAAUACCAGUCACAGCCACCAUUAACCAGUAGUAUCACAAAGGCCAUUCACACAGGGAAUGCCAUCCUGGUCCUCUUGAUCUGGGCAGACUCUCGCCUCCGCACCCCAAUGUACAUACUACUCAGUCAGCUCUCUUCUCUCUUAUGGACUUGGCCUUAAUUUCCGCCACUUCCCCGAAGAUGGUCAUCAACUUUUUCUCCAGAAAGAAAAGCAUCUCCAAAGUUGCCUGUGGGUCCCAGAUUUUCUGCUUCUUUGCCCUUGGUGGUCGUGAGUGUCUCCUUCUGACCCUCAUGGCUUACGACCGCUAUGUGGCUGUCUGUCAUCCCUUGAGAUAUUCAAUUAUCAUGAACAAUAGAGUCUGUCUGUGGAUGGCCCUCAUGUCCUGGGGUGGAGGUGCCCUGAAUUCUCUCAUCAACACCUUCUACAUCAUGCACUUCCCAUUCUGUGGCUCCAGGGAAAUCCACCACUUCUUCUCUGAGCUGUCCACUGUCCUGAGGCUCUCUUGUGAGGAAAACUUCUUUAUAUGAGAUGGUGGUGUCUGUCAAUUGCAUCGUGUUUGUUCUUCUCCCCUUGGGACUCAUCACAUCCUCCUAUCUGCUCAUCUUCCUCGAUGUUCUCCGAAUAAAUUCUCCAGAGGGCAGGAGGAAAGCCCUGGCCACGUUUUCCUCCCACCUGGCCGUUGUGAGCCUCUACUAUGGGCCUGCAUGAUCAUCUACAUGACCCCCACCACUUUCCACACUCCAGAACAGAAUGAAAUACUCGCUAUGAUUAACACCAUCUUUACCCCUAUGCUCAACCCUCUCAUCUACAGCCUGAGGAACAAGGAGGUGCAUGCUGCCCUGAGAAAAGUAAUGAGUCAACGAUUCAUUUUAAAGUAGAAGACCGAUAUGAUGGUGCACCCCUUAAGCCCAGCACUUUGGAGGCAGAAGCAGGCAGGUCUCUGGUCUUCAUAAUGAGCAACCAACCAGAGCAACAUAUAUAAUUCCAAACUGCAUUCAUACUUAUCCUUAUACCCACAAAUAUGUGUAGCUCUCAUCCCUCAUCAAAGAAGCUCCUUCUCUGUGACAAAACAAACUGCAGAGAACCCAGCCCACCAUCAUCUAUAACACAGAUUCCCUACUAAAGCUCAAGGAAUGUUGUUCUGGCAUUUUAAGGGUGAUCCCACCCCAUUCAUAUUCCCUACAACACUGUCAAUGGCCAAUUAAUUAAUAAAUGCUUAAUUAGAACUUGCUCUGUAGCCAACGUUGCCACAUUCUCAGGAAGAUCAUAGGAGCCGCCUCUUAAUUUUCUGUUAAAAAAAAAGAGAGAGAGAGCUAAUGCCUCUAAGUAUGAAGGAUAGUGCAUUUUGGGAGUAUGAAGGAUGCAUUAUGGGAAAGCAGUGAUGCAACAGAAGCUGGGAGCAGUGUGAAAUACUUUGUUGUCCUUUGAGGAGGACAGGAUCCUCCUGAAAUGGCCAUUCAUAGUGGAUGGUGAAUCACAGAAACCAUGACUACAGCUGGUCAGGCUCGUUAAUUUAAAUGAAAUAAGUGUGCAAAAAUGUUGAUCUCCUAGCUCUUUAUCUAAUGCUGUAGCCCCAAACAAGAAAAAAAAAUCCUAUGGACCAG